GGUUAAGCGACUAAGCGUACACGGUGGAUGCCCUGGCAGUCAGAGGCGAUGAAGGACGUGCUAAUCUGCGAAAAGCGUCGGUAAGGUGAUAUGAACCGUUAUAACCGGCGAUGUCCGAAUGGGGAAACCCAGUGCAAUUCGUUGCACUAUCGUUAACUGAAUACAUAGGUUAACGAGGCGAACCGGGGGAACUGAAACAUCUAAGUACCCCGAGGAAAAGAAAUCAACCGAGAUUCCCCCAGUAGCGGCGAGCGAACGGGGAGCAGCCCAGAGUCUGAAUCAGCUUGUGUGUUAGUGGAACGGUCUGGAAAGUCCGACGGUACAGGGUGAUAGUCCCGUACACCAAAAUGCACAGGCUGUGAACUCGAAGAGUAGGGCGGGACACGUGGUAUCCUGUCUGAAUAUGGGGGGACCAUCCUCCAAGGCUAAAUACUCCUGACUGACCGAUAGUGAACCAGUACCGUGAGGGAAAGGCGAAAAGAACCCCGGCGAGGGGAGUGAAAAAGAACCUGAAACCGUGUACGUACAAGCAGUGGGAGCACCUUCGGGUGUGACUGCGUACCUUUUGUAUAAUGGGUCAGCGACUUAUAUUCUGUAGCAAGGUUAACCGUAUAGGGGAGCCGCAGGGAAACCGAGUCUUAACUGGGCGUUAAGUUGCAGGGUAUAGACCCGAAACCCGGUGAUCUAGCCAUGGGCAGGUUGAAGGUUGGGUAACACUAACUGGAGGACCGAACCGACUAAUGUUGAAAAAUUAGCGGAUGACUUGUGGCUGGGGGUGAAAGGCCAAUCAAACCGGGAGAUAGCUGGUUCUCCCCGAAAGCUAUUUAGGUAGCGCCUCGUGAACUCAUCUUCGGGGGUAGAGCACUGUUUCGGCUAGGGGGUCAUCCCGACUUACCAACCCGAUGCAAACUACGAAUACCGAAGAAUGUUAUCACGGGAGACACACGGCGGGUGCUAACGUCCGUCGUGAAGAGGGAAACAACCCAGACCGCCAGCUAAGGUCCCAAAGUCAUGGUUAAGUGGGAAACGAUGUGGGAAGGCACAGACAGCCAGGAUGUUGGCUUAGAAGCAGCCAUCAUUUAAAGAAAGCGUAAUAGCUCACUGGUCGAGUCGGCCUGCGCGGAAGAUGUAACGGGGCUAAACCAUGCACCGAAGCUGCGGCAGCGACACUAUGUGUUGUUGGGUAGGGGAGCGUUCUGUAAGCCUGCGAAGGUGACCUGUGAGGGUUGCUGGAGGUAUCAGAAGUGCGAAUGCUGACAUAAGUAACGAUAAAGCGGGUGAAAAGCCCGCUCGCCGGAAGACCAAGGGUUCCUGUCCAACGUUAAUCGGGGCAGGGUGAGUCGACCCCUAAGGCGAGGCCGAAAGGCGUAGUCGAUGGGAAACAGGUUAAUAUUCCUGUACUUGGUGUUACUGCGAAGGGGGGACGGAGAAGGCUAUGUUAGCCGGGCGACGGUUGUCCCGGUUUAAGCAUGUAGGCUGGUUGUCCAGGCAAAUCCGGAUAAUCAAGGCUGAGGUGUGAUGACGAGGCACUACGGUGCUGAAGUAACAAAUGCCCUGCUUCCAGGAAAAGCCUCUAAGCAUCAGGUAACAUUAAAUCGUACCCCAAACCGACACAGGUGGUCAGGUAGAGAAUACCAAGGCGCUUGAGAGAACUCGGGUGAAGGAACUAGGCAAAAUGGUGCCGUAACUUCGGGAGAAGGCACGCUGGUGUGUAGGUGAAGCCCCUGCGGGUGGAGCUGAGACCAGUCGAAGAUACCAGCUGGCUGCAACUGUUUAUUAAAAACACAGCACUGUGCAAACACGAAAGUGGACGUAUACGGUGUGACGCCUGCCCGGUGCCGGAAGGUUAAUUGAUGGGGUUAUCCGUAAGGAGAAGCUCUUGAUCGAAGCCCCGGUAAACGGCGGCCGUAACUAUAACGGUCCUAAGGUAGCGAAAUUCCUUGUCGGGUAAGUUCCGACCUGCACGAAUGGCGUAAUGAUGGCCAGGCUGUCUCCACCCGAGACUCAGUGAAAUUGAACUCGCUGUGAAGAUGCAGUGUACCCGCGGCAAGACGGAAAGACCCCGUGAACCUUUACUAUAGCUUGACACUGAACAUUGAGCCUUGAUGUGUAGGAUAGGUGGGAGGCUUUGAAGCGUGGACGCCAGUCUGCGUGGAGCCAACCUUGAAAUACCACCCUUUAAUGUUUGAUGUUCUAACGUUGGCCCCUGACCGGGGUUGCGGACAGUGUCUGGUGGGUAGUUUGACUGGGGCGGUCUCCUCCCAAAGCGUAACGGAGGAGCACGAAGGUUAGCUAAUCCUGGUCGGACAUCAGGAGGUUAGUGCAAUGGCAUAAGCUAGCUUGACUGCGAGCGUGACGGCGCGAGCAGGUGCGAAAGCAGGUCAUAGUGAUCCGGUGGUUCUGAAUGGAAGGGCCAUCGCUCAACGGAUAAAAGGUACUCCGGGGAUAACAGGCUGAUACCGCCCAAGAGUUCAUAUCGACGGCGGUGUUUGGCACCUCGAUGUCGGCUCAUCACAUCCUGGGGCUGAAGUAGGUCCCAAGGGUAUGGCUGUUCGCCAUUUAAAGUGGUACGCGAGCUGGGUUUAGAACGUCGUGAGACAGUUCGGUCCCUAUCUGCCGUGGGCGCUGGAGAAUUGAGGGGGGCUGCUCCUAGUACGAGAGGACCGGAGUGGACGCAUCACUGGUGUUCGGGUUGUCAUGCCAAUGGCACUGCCCGGUAGCUAAAUGCGGAAGAGAUAAGUGCUGAAAGCAUCUAAGCACGAAACUUGCCCCGAGAUGAGUUCUCCCUGAGACUUUAAGUCUCCUGAAGGAACGUUGAAGACGACGACGUUGAUAGGCCGGGUGUGUAAGCGCAGCGAUGCGUUGAGCUAACCGGUACUAAUGAACCGUGAGGCUUAACCUU
RNAcentral lists this ribosomal RNA (2902 nucleotides) under Klebsiella pneumoniae. RNAcentral's name for it is "23S ribosomal RNA". It matches the Rfam family "Bacterial large subunit ribosomal RNA". Lineage: Bacteria; Pseudomonadati; Pseudomonadota; Gammaproteobacteria; Enterobacterales; Enterobacteriaceae. RNAcentral also lists the same sequence under 1 other name. The record is from RNAcentral.